Small nucleolar RNA from Rhododendron vialii, 108 nucleotides. RefSeq annotates it as small nucleolar RNA snoR100. Lineage: Eukaryota; Viridiplantae; Streptophyta; Magnoliopsida; Ericales; Ericaceae. The record is from RefSeq and is a predicted model, not a curated record. The transcript has a single exon.
GAAUGAAGGAAGCCUGAUAAUGUGCACAAAAAUUGAUUUGGGUCUCUAGGCUUGUCCUCUUUGAUGUCUUUCGGCUUUGAUUUGAGGGUAUGGUUCCGUGUCAAAACG